GCCACAAGUUUCUAAUUUUAUUUUAACAACCUUGCUUUUUAAAAAAUACAAGUUCUGAUUAAUGCCAGGGGGAUGCCAAGUGUCCAUCAGCUACAGGCCUUAUCUCUCACUUCCGUUUCCCCUCCUGGGAGUAGUCAUCUCUUUUGUCAGGAUAACAAACAAAGAGCAGUAAAAUGCUAAAUAACUGAGUUGUUUAACAGAAUCCCAAGGGACCUGUGUCUUAGUAUGGCACAAAUUCGUUCAGCAAAGUGUUACUGACCUGGACCAGUAAUUUAAUGUUGGCACAAUGUACAUGAGUUGUGCAAGGUGCAUGGGGAGAGGUACUGUUUGCACUUUCGUGGUACCACCAUCUCUCUUCUGCAAACAGAAAGGUUUAAGUGGAAGCAAGAGCUCAAUUACCAAAGAUAAGGGAAUUCAAGAGGAGGAGCAGGUUUAUAAACAAUGAAGAUCUUUAAAUGUUUUUUUCAUAGUAAGUAAUUGCAGGAGCAGCAGCGCUGCCCUUUUAGUUGCAAGGGGGUUUCUGUAUGGCCAACUACAAGAGCUUUACACUCUCCAGACAGCACAUUUCCUAACAACCUAGAAACCAUGGCACCACAAAGAACAGCUUUUUCUACAAAGGAAUUCUAUGCAACACAAGUGUCAAUUUGCAAGGUCUCGUGUGUCCCAAGCAACCUUUUCAUCCAUGGAAAAAUCUGAACUGUGAGUUCACUGCCAAUAGGUUAAAUAUGCCAUGGCCGCAUGAAUUUCAAAUAUGCCAUUUUUCUCAAUAAUAUCCUAACUGGAAAAAGGCACUCACAUUUGAACCAGCAACAUUGUUAUGGGCUAUGAAAGGGUACUGAAGUAAGACUCAUUAAUAAUUGUGCUGUGAUUAUUUUGAUGUCUCAGCUAUGCUCAUGCUUCAGUGUAUUAGGGAUUAGCACUUUAGUGCUAUUGGGAACUUGGCCAUAGGAGUAGCCAAACAUAGUUGGCGAUGAAAAGCCUUUUUUUUUCUUCAGCUUGUUUUUGGCAAAGUUGGUUGGGGAUUUUUUUUUUUUUUCCUUCAGCUGUUUGACUGAAUAAUAGAGUAGUCCUAGGUUCAGGUAUCACCUUAUUCUCUCUUGAAUAAUUAUUUCUGAGCUUCUACUACCUAUUUAAUGCUGAAAAAGGAAGGUGCAAGGAAACAAGUAUCUGUACAAGCAUAAUAUGCCUGUAAUUACACCUCCUUUGGCCAGGAACUUAGCAUCCCCUCAACACAUUUCACAUCACAUAGGAAAAUUUCACAGUACCAAGUUUUACAAUCACAGUCACUCACAGCACCAAGAUUGUCCAGACAAGAAGAAGUUACCGAAGAGAAAGGCCACUGGCCAAAAUUCACACAACUGCCCGUGUAAGGGCUCAGGUUAAAAAUAAAGCACUGGUGGGAAAGUUAAGCCUAGCUUUUGCCAACUCUCCGUUUGGCACGAGGAGAGCACUAGGGGAGGAGACCCCCAUGGCAGCCCCACUUCUGCCUCUGGGAGCUGGAAGUCACCAGACUGUAAACAUUUUGUUGUAGCAGUCCACCGGAGCAGGCAGUUGAUCCCACUCUGUGACAAGGGAGCUGGGACAGAGGCUCUGAAGCCCAGGUCCUGAAGGAAAGAAUGAAUGUGUGUGUGGAAGAAGUCUGGGCUGCACGUGCAGUCCUGCUGUGGGUAGCAGUUGGCUGUGCUUUAUUUCCCCUUCCCAUCAGGACAGCUUAAAAAAAAAGAAAAAGAAACUUGCAACAGGAAACUGUUGUUUUUCACAAUUAUUGCAGCCUUGCCCAGAUAACAAAAUAUAAACCUGGGAGGGGCAAAGUCCUUCCUCCAAAGGACUUUGGUCGGCGUGCUCCUCCUUCCAUGGGGCUGGUUUCAGGAGCAGCGGCAGCCAUGCAGAAGAUCAGGCCUUAACCCCACCCAACAUUCAUGGAGCUUAAAACCAAAAAAACUGUGUUCCUAUGAGAGGUUACUAACAAUUUUUCCCCACCUACCCUAAACCACAUGCACACAGAGGACAGGAUGCUUUCACCAAAGCUCGAGAGCCCCUCUGCCUCAAGGGCUCUUGCAGCACUUUGCUUUCUGUGCUGAAAUGUGAGGUUCACUGAGCAUGGAGCCCGCCCCGAGCAGUGCCAGCGUCCUCUGCUCUGCUCUUGGAGAGGGGACACUUUGCAGGCUUAGCCCCAUCUCUGCUCUCUCAAGCAGGCAUGGAAGGGGGCCGGAGGAAACUUUCCAGCCUUUCUGGCUGUGUAAAGGAAGACCCUACGCUCCGUGUAAAAGAAAAACCAACGCUGAUCCCAUAAACAUGCAUAUUCACAGAGAAAUGAGAGCCCCAGCGCCUGGGGAUGCCAGCAGGAGGCUGCUGUAAACCCUGUUCUCACCAGAAAUAAAUGUCUUGGUGGUUAUGAAAUGGGGCCUAAGCCCUGGCUUAUGUCCAUGCUGGACUGGUUUCUUUAGCAUGUGAAGUCAAUGUAAGAUGCAAAAGGU
Molecule: long non-coding RNA, 2477 nt
Filed under: Taeniopygia guttata (zebra finch)
Lineage: Eukaryota; Metazoa; Chordata; Aves; Passeriformes; Estrildidae
Description: lncRNA (ENSTGUG00000029736.1)
Source: RNAcentral